AGCAUUCACCAAAAUCCAUAUUCUAACUGCUCUGUUUCACUUUUCGGAGAGAAAAACAAGAUUUUUCUUCACAAAGUAAGGAAAUUUCUUUAUUUAUCCCGGAAAAAAAAAAGAAAAACAAUCGAGAGAAAAAAAAACUAAAAAAGUUCUUAUUCGUCUUCUUCCUUCUUCUCCUCUAUUCUCCCCUAUUCACUGCAAAAAAAAAAAAAAAAUCUUUCUCCAUCGCGUCUCUUUUCUUCUUUGUUCCUUAUUUUUCAAGUUCUUUUUGAGAAGGAAGACUACUGCAGGUGAAGGCUUAUCAGUUCUAACGUGAUUUAGGGUUUAUUCCUUUUUUUUAUUUUGGAUGUAAAGGUUUGAUUUGCCGUGUUAUGAUUUUUACUGAAAGCUAUACGCGAUUUAGGGUUUGUGGACAAUAAGAUCAUAUAAUCUUUUGGUACGAUUUUUAUUGAAACAGAUACACCACAAAAUCCCAUUCUCUUUUGGUUGGCAAGGAAAGGCAAGGCUUUUAAAGACCUGGAAGUAUGGAAACCUUAAAACCAAUGAGCUACAUGGAAUGAAUAUGAAUGAACUUAAUGGAUGAUAAAAGGGAUCGACCUGAAGGUAACUUUGUGCGAAAAUGGAGCAAAUCAGUAGAGUGGGAGGUGACAAACAAACAUGGAAGCGCGACGAUAACUGUUAUAAUCAAUGCAACGUUCGUGAAAGAGGUUCAAGGUGCUCAGAAAGAAAGGGGAUAUGGUCAUACAGAUGCCAUGACUUAUGCCUUGCUUGAGGUUUAUUACACAAGUUUGUCGUUGACAUAUAUGGAAUGCUUCAAUGGAAGGUUGAACCUUUGAUAUCUGCAGCAAAACCUACUUCAGGAAGCAUUUUGGAGGGUGUAUGAAUGGAAGUUCAUGAAUUGCCUUGAGUUUUGAGCAAGUGUUGUCUGUGCAUACAGUUCUGAACCUGACUUCCGGCCCUUGGCGUAUCUCUUUGCUCAAUCAUGUUGCUGCUUCUUUGGGUACUUUCAUUCCUGAAUUUUUACUGACGAUGAACAACCAUCCAGAUUAGAGCGUAGUACGGAUUCUGGUGAUGAUAUCCAUGCGAUUUCUGGAAUUGAUGCGCAGUUACUCAUUAAGAAAUUAAUGCACACACUAUGAAAUUUGAAUAACACAUUAGUAGUUUGUUCUUUUCCCUGUUUUUAUAACUUCUGCGGUAGUUCAAUUAGUUAGGACAGUCAAUACGUUAGGAUUCCAUGUUUAUUAAUGCUUGCACUGUGAAGUGCAACUAUCAUUCAUCUAUUGCAGUCCAAUUAUUCUGUCACUUCUACAAUGUUAUGCAUUGUUUACCUAUUGAAUAGGCUCUACAUAUCUGUUGAGUUCUUU
Long non-coding RNA from Papaver somniferum (opium poppy), 1361 nucleotides. RefSeq lists it as uncharacterized. Lineage: Eukaryota; Viridiplantae; Streptophyta; Magnoliopsida; Ranunculales; Papaveraceae. The record is from RefSeq and is a predicted model, not a curated record. The transcript has 7 exons.